This 491-nucleotide ribosomal RNA is filed under the name uncultured bacterium. RNAcentral describes it as "partial 16S ribosomal RNA". It matches the Rfam family "Bacterial small subunit ribosomal RNA", at positions 28 to 507 of the family's 1533-position model. The record is from RNAcentral.
GAUGAACGCUAGCUACAGGCUUAACACAUGCAAGUCGAGGGGAAACGCCAUUGAAGCUUGCUUCGAUGGUCGUCGACCGGCGCACGGGUGAGUAACGCGUAUCCAACCUGCCUCUGACCAAGGGAUAACCCGUCGAAAGUCGGCCUAAUACCUUAUGCAGUCGUCGGAAGUCAUCUGAUGACGACGAAAGAUUUCAUCGGUGAGAGAUGGGGAUGCGUCUGAUUAGCUUGUUGGCGGGGUAACGGCCCACCAAGGCAACGAUCAGUAGGGGUUCUGAGAGGAAGGUCCCCCACAUUGGAACUGAGACACGGUCCAAACUCCUACGGGAGGCAGCAGUGAGGAAUAUUGGUCAAUGGGCGAGAGCCUGAACCAGCCAAGUAGCGUGCAGGAUGACGGCCCUAUGGGUUGUAAACUGCUUUUAUGAGGGGAUAAAGUGAGGGACGUGUCCUUCAUUGCAGGUACCGCAUGAAUAAGGACCGGCUAAGUCCGUG